RNAcentral lists this transfer RNA (85 nucleotides) under Coriobacteriales bacterium. Its description in RNAcentral is "tRNA-Leu". It matches the Rfam family "tRNA". From Rfam's summary of the family: Transfer RNA (tRNA) molecules are approximately 80 nucleotides in length. Their secondary structure includes four short double-helical elements and three loops (D, anti-codon, and T loops). Lineage: Bacteria; Bacillati; Actinomycetota; Coriobacteriia; Coriobacteriales. The record is from RNAcentral.
GGGGGCGUGGCGGAAUUGGCAGACGCAGCGGACUUAAAAUCCGCCGCCGCAAGGCUUGCGGGUUCGAACCCCGCCGCCCCUACCA